Long non-coding RNA from Perognathus longimembris pacificus (Pacific pocket mouse), 179 nucleotides. RefSeq lists it as uncharacterized. The record is from RefSeq and is a predicted model, not a curated record. NCBI's taxonomy places the organism in Eukaryota, Metazoa, Chordata, Mammalia, Rodentia, Heteromyidae. The transcript has 2 exons.
UAAGAAAAUGGAAAGACUUGGGGAAAAAAUAAGGCUAAGUGAAGUGAGCCAGACCCAAAGAAACAUAGACUCUAUGGUUUCCCUCAUUGGGAAUAUUUAGUACAGGGUUAGGCUAGUCAUAACAGACGAUCGCAAGAGCCCAAUAGCUAUGCCCUUAUGAACACAUAAGAUGAUGCUAA